AUUGAAGAGGCUAUUUCAUGUAUACUCUGUCCUUCUCUCUCUACCAAUUCACAAACUCCUUUCUCUACAGAACAAUAUCUUGACUAUUAUGUGUGUGUGUGUGUGUGUGUGUGUGUGUGUGUGUGUGUGUGUGUGUGUGUGUGUGUGUGUGUGUGUGUGUGAGGAGUUGUCAGUCUUGGUCUUGGAAAAAUCCACUCAAUGUCGUAAGAGAGAGUAGGCGGGCAUCAACCUGUCUGGUCAUUUAUCGUGUGUGAGACCCACUUCCAUGGACAGACAAUGUUAGUGAAAGCCCUGCAGAUGUAAAAAGAGAGGAUGUUAUAUCAGACUGAAUGUAAAGGAGAGGAUGUUAUAUCAGACUGAAUGUAAAGGAGAGGAUGUUAUAUCAGACUGAAUGUAAAGGAGAGGAUGUUAUAUCAGACUGAAUGUAAAGGAGAGGAUGUUAUAUCAGACUGAAUGUAAAGGAGAGGAUGUUAUAUCAGACUGAAUGUAAAGGAGAGGAUGUUAGGCAGACAAUGUAAAGGAGAGGAUGUUAGGCAGACAAUGUAAAGGAGAGGAUGUUAGGCAGACAAUGUAAAGGAGAGGAUGUUAGGCAGACAAUGUAAAGGAGAGGAUGUUAGGCAGACAAUGUAAAGGAGAGGAUGUUAGGCAGACAAUGUAAAGGUGAGGAUGUUAGGCAGACAAUGUAAAGGUGAGGAUGUUAGGCAGACUGAAUGUAAAGGAGAGGAUGUUAGGCAGACAAUGUAAAGGAGAGGAUGUUAGGCAGACAAUGUAAAGGUGAGGAUGUUAGGCAGACUGAAUGUAAAGGUGAGGAUGUUAGGCAGACAAUGUAAAGGAGAGGAUGUUAGGCAGACAAUGUAAAGGAGAGGAUGUUAGGCAGACAAUGUAAAGGAGAGGAUGUUAGGCAGACUGAAUGUAAAGGUGAGGAUGUUAGGCAGACUGAAUGUAAAGGUGAGGAUGUUAGGCAGACAAUGUAAAGGAGAGGAUGUUAGGCAGACAAUGUAAAGGUGAGGAUGUUAGGCAGACAAUGUAAAGGAGAGGAUGUUAGGCAGACAAUGUAAAGGAGAGGAUGUUAGGCAGACAAUGUAAAGGAGAGGAUGUUAGGCAGACAAUGUAAAGGAGAGGAUGUUAGGCAGACAAUGUAAAGGAGAGGAUGUUAGGCAGACAAUGUAAAGGAGAGGAUGUUAGGCAGACAAUGUAAAGGAGAGGAUGUUAGGCAGACAAUGUAAAGGAGAGGAUGUUAGGCAGACAAUGUAAAGGAGAGGAUGUUAGGCAGACAAUGUAAAGGAGAGGAUGUUAGGCAGACUGAAUGUAAAGGUGAGGAUGUUAGGCAGACUGAAUGUAAAGGUGAGGAUGUUAGGCAGACUGAAUGUAAAGGUGAGGAUGUUAGGCAGACUGAAUGUAAAGGUGAGGAUGUUAGGCAGACUGAAUGUAAAGGUGAGGAUGUUAGGCAGACAAUGUAAAGGAGAGGAUGUUAGGCAGACAAUGUAAAGGAGAGGAUGUUAGGCAGACAAUGUAAAGGAGAGGAUGUUAGGCAGACAAUGUAAAGGAGAGGAUGUUAGGCAGACAAUGUAAAGGAGAGGAUGUUAGGCAGACUGAAUGUAAAGGAGAGGAUGUUA
This is a long non-coding RNA of Oncorhynchus keta (chum salmon), 1616 nucleotides long. RefSeq lists it as uncharacterized. The record is from RefSeq and is a predicted model, not a curated record. The transcript has 3 exons. Lineage: Eukaryota; Metazoa; Chordata; Actinopteri; Salmoniformes; Salmonidae.